Molecule: long non-coding RNA, 101 nt
Organism: Hippocampus comes (tiger tail seahorse)
Lineage: Eukaryota; Metazoa; Chordata; Actinopteri; Syngnathiformes; Syngnathidae
Exons: 3
Source: RefSeq, a predicted model, not a curated record
UGUUUUUGGAACAAUGGUAUUGUUAGAUUGAGUUGACGUUGCUAGUGGGACAGCUUUGGGUGAGGAACAGGAAUUGACGUGUGUUCUCUCCGAUGUUACGA